RNAcentral lists this ribosomal RNA (497 nucleotides) under uncultured Roseateles sp. RNAcentral describes it as "bacterial SSU rRNA". It matches the Rfam family "Bacterial small subunit ribosomal RNA", at positions 951 to 1452 of the family's 1533-position model. The record is from RNAcentral. Lineage: Bacteria; Pseudomonadati; Pseudomonadota; Betaproteobacteria; Burkholderiales; Sphaerotilaceae.
UCGAUGCAACGCGAAAAACCUUACCUACCCUUGACAUGUCUGGAAUCCUGAAGAGAUUUGGGAGUGCUCGAAAGAGAGCCAGAACACAGGUGCUGCAUGGCCGUCGUCAGCUCGUGUCGUGAGAUGUUGGGUUAAGUCCCGCAACGAGCGCAACCCUUGUCAUUAGUUGCUACGAAAGGGCACUCUAAUGAGACUGCCGGUGACAAACCGGAGGAAGGUGGGGAUGACGUCAGGUCAUCAUGGCCCUUAUGGGUAGGGCUACACACGUCAUACAAUGGCCGGGACAGAGGGCUGCCAACCCGCGAGGGGGAGCUAAUCCCAGAAACCCGGUCGUAGUCCGGAUCGUAGUCUGCAACUCGACUGCGUGAAGUCGGAAUCGCUAGUAAUCGCGGAUCAGCUUGCCGCGGUGAAUACGUUCCCGGGUCUUGUACACACCGCCCGUCACACCAUGGGAGCGGGUUCUGCCAGAAGUAGUUAGCCUAACCGCAAGGGGGGCG